This 432-nucleotide ribosomal RNA is filed under the name uncultured bacterium. RNAcentral describes it as "partial 16S ribosomal RNA". It matches the Rfam family "Bacterial small subunit ribosomal RNA", at positions 38 to 506 of the family's 1533-position model. The record is from RNAcentral.
GGGGGGGGGGGGGGGGGGGCGGGGCGGGGGCGGGGCGGGGGGGGGCGGCGGGGUCGGGGGCGGACGGGGGGGUGACCCGCUGGGCCGGCCCCUUCGUGUCGGAGUACCGCGGGGAAACUAGCGCUAAUACCGGAUACGCCCUCCUUGGGAGAGGGUUACUGCCGAAGGAUCCGCCCGCGCCUGCUCAGCUAGUUGGUGGGGUAAUGGCCUUCCCAGACGACGAUCAGUAGCUGGUCUGAGAGGAUGAUCAGCCCCCCUGGGACUGCGACACGGCCCAGACUCCUACGGGAGGCAGGAGUGGGGAAUAGUGGACAAAGGGCGCAAGCCUGAGCCAGCCCGGCCGCGUGAGUGAUGAAGGCCUUAGGGUUGUAAGGCUCAUUUGUCCGGGACGAUAAUGACGGUACCGGAAGAAUAAGCCCCGGCUAACUUCGU